UGGGCCGUUCGCCCAUUAAAGCGGUACGCGAGCUGGGUUUAGAACGUCGUGAGACAGUUCGGUCCCUAUCCGCUGUGCGCGUAGGAGUCUUGAGAAGGGCUGUCCCUAGUACGAGAGGACCGGGACGGACGAACCUCUGGUGUGCCAGUUGUUCUGCCAAGGGCAUGGCUGGUUGGCUACGUUCGGAAAGGAUAACCGCUGAAAGCAUCUAAGCGGGAAGCCUGCUUCGAGAUGAGGGCUCCCUCCCACUUGAUGGGGUAAGGCUCCCAGUAGACGACUGGGUUGAUAGGCCAGAUAUGGAAGA
RNAcentral lists this ribosomal RNA (304 nucleotides) under Streptomyces rimosus. RNAcentral describes it as "bacterial LSU rRNA". It matches the Rfam family "Bacterial large subunit ribosomal RNA", at positions 2572 to 2874 of the family's 2925-position model. Lineage: Bacteria; Bacillati; Actinomycetota; Actinomycetes; Kitasatosporales; Streptomycetaceae. The record is from RNAcentral.